This is a non-coding RNA of Pogona vitticeps (central bearded dragon), 301 nucleotides long. The record is from RefSeq and is a predicted model, not a curated record. Lineage: Eukaryota; Metazoa; Chordata; Lepidosauria; Squamata; Agamidae.
UAAGAUCUUUUGUAAAAGGAGGACAUGGUUACUUAACCCAAAGUAACUUGAUUUUCACUUGCUGCAUUUGAAGAAAGGUGUUACAGUCUACAAACGAUUAUGCCAAAGGCUUGAUCUGAGGUACAUUAACAUGGGAGAGAAAUCUUGUUAUGUUAGACUUCUAUCUUAUAUAUUUGACCUUUCGUGUGUUCCACCAUGGCUCCUGAAAGAAAAUAGAAGGAGGUGUUUUUCUACUACCCAGUUAGAAUGCAACAUUUGAGAAGAACUGCUUGGAGAACUUGGACGUCCAUCCACUUUCCUU